ACGGGGCGUUACAGCAGUGGUAGAGGCAAGAUUUUCACCAAAGGAGUUCAACGUCUAUUAAACAUACAUAACAACAAACCCAACAUAAUCCUACAAAGUGAAGUCUGGAGAGGGCCAAGUGUAUGCACACCAGGUUGUUUCCUGUAGACUGUCGGCUCAGGAAAACAUCAAUUAUACAUACAUAACCAAAAAAGAAACAAAGUUGACCUCAUAUACAGAGUGUGAUUCUCCGGCGAAGGGGGUUUCGUUGACCUCAUACAUAGAGUGUGAUCUUCCGGCGAAGGGGGGUUCAUCCACUAGCUCCGGCCAAAGGAAAAGCAGGAGGGAGAGCGAGUUACCGGGGAGCACCGGCUAGCUCAGAGCUUCGGUUGCUUCUUAGGAAAGAACAAGAACAAGUGGUGACAUGAUGCAGCAGGAUUAACAAAUAUAUGUGUGGGUGUGGGUGUGCGCGCGAGCGUGGGCGUGUGGGAGAGAGAGUGAACUGCUGCAGACCACAAAUAUAAACAUAAAACCAGGAUAAGAAUUAAAAAGGCUUUCUUGACUUCAUUUUUGUGUGUUGUAGUUUUCAAAUGAAAUUUCAACAGCAUGACUUACAGAGUCUUUCUUGGCUUCAUUUUCCUACUCUUUUAGCUAUUUAAAUAUGCUUGAUUAGAUCACAGUAAAGUAUUCUCUUUUUAAUAAAAUUGAUCCACAUAAAUAAAUUAAUGUCUAAUCAAGUAUAAGGAUUUGCCAUUAAUAUAUUUUUUUCCUAUUUUUUUCUUUUGCAAGGGUUGGGAUUAUACAUCAAAUUGAAUGAAUUUCUGUGAUGUAGCUUUCUUUGAAAUUUCUAUAGCUAAGAAUUUUAUGACUUUAAUGUUACCAACAAAUGAUUUAAUUUCAAUGUAAAAUAAACGCCAGACUUAACGCCGACGGUAAUUUGUUUCUGAAAUACUUGAUUUUUCCUUCCGCUAUUCUUUUCCAUGGAUAUAAAGAUUUCCACAUUUUGAAAAGUAAUUGCCAAACACUUUUGAACUAUUAAUAUACUUUUCCAUGGAAAGUGAAACAUUGAUUCCUAUGUCAAUUGUAAAUUUAUGAAUGAAUAUUUAUAUUAUAUAUGCCAUUUUCAACAACCAAAAAAGAUUUAUUCCCUCCAUCCCUCUAAUUUGAAAAAUAUUUACCUAUACUUUUUCAUGGUGCGAUAUUGUCCGUUUUGGAUCUAGCCUGCAUGAUUUUCCCCAAAAGGUCUUACACCGUUAAGAGAUUUUACCCCUUAAAUGUAGCUUCUCGAUCGAUUUUUUUAGCUACCAAUGUAGGACGUUCGUUCACAUGCCCAACAAUUUCCCCCUCGAACUAAAUUCCACAUGACUCAUCACUGUCAUCACGAUCCAUGGAUCAUCGAGAUUUAUUUUUGCCGCGCACAUCGUUUGAGUAUUUUUAUGCAUACCGAAGUCCACAACUAGCUUCUUCUUGUGUGUGCAUCUCCGCCACAUCUUCCUACUCAUCCCGCUGAACUUGAGUUUUGAUACCAGUUGUUGGACUAAACUAGUCAAAAGACACCGUACCCUUACAUGGUGUGAUAUUGUCCCCCAGAAAGC
Molecule: long non-coding RNA, 1574 nt
Filed under: Capsicum annuum
Lineage: Eukaryota; Viridiplantae; Streptophyta; Magnoliopsida; Solanales; Solanaceae
Description: long non-coding RNA (CANN_LNC018275)
Source: RNAcentral